AAAAAUACCAGGAAAGCUUCGCUUGUGUUGAAUUGAACCAUUUGGUUGUAAAUUCUGAUGUCCAUUAUAUGCACAUUUGUACGAAGGAUUGUUCUUUGAAGACAGACCAAAAGCAUGGUGUUGUUGAGUGAAGGAAGCGCGUGAUAAGAGGCAGGAAUAAACGGAAAUGAAGUAUAACCAAACUUGGAACUUUUGCAAGCAACGGGAGGUUUUCUGUCUCUUUUUUUUCUUCCAUCAUUAGAAUCUUGCUUAAAAUGCUCUGAGGACAAAGCAAAAUUUUAAGUGGGGGGUGGGGUUGUAGCCUUGCAUGUUCCAUGUCCUUUGGGAAAUUUUCAUUUUACCAAAACUGCCUAAAUUUAAAAAAUUUUUAAAUUCUCUAUUCUUAGGUCAAGUAAAAUGCGUUGGGCUCCCUCAGUAUCAGAACUUGUGUGGGGAACUCUUCACUUUUGGCCUAACCAAAAUAAGACCUGCCUUACCCGUAGGGCUCAGCCGGUUAGGCUAAAUAGAAUGCGUUGGGCUCCCUCAGUAUCAGAGCUUGUGUGGGGAACUCUUCACUUUUGGCCUAACAAAAACCUGACCUACCUAGCCCUUAGAGAUCAGCCGGUUAGGUCAAGUAAAAUGCGUUGGGCUCCCUCAGUAUCAGAACUUGUGUGGGGAACUCUUCACUUUUGGCCUAACCAAAACCUGACCUACCUAGCCCUUAGAGUUCAACCAGUUAGGUCAAGUAAGAUGCGUUGGGCUCCCUCAGUAUCAGAACUUGUGUGGGGAACUCUUCACUUUUGGCCUAACCAAAACCAGACUUGCCUUGCCCGUAGAGCCCAGUCGGUUAGGCCAAAUAGAAUGCGUUGGGCUCCCUUAGUAUCAGAACUUGUGUGGGGAACUCUUCACUUUUGGCCUAACCAAAACCAGACCUGCCUUGCCCUUAGAGUUCAGCCGGUUAGGUCAAGUAGAAUGCGUUGGGCUCCCUCAGUAUCAGAACUUGUGUGGGGAACUCUUCACUUUUGGCCUAACCAAAACCAGACCUGCCUUACCCUUGCCCUUAGUGUUCAGCCGGUUAGGUCAAGUAGAAUGCGUUGGGCUCCCUCAGUAUCAGAACUUGUGUGGGGAACUCUUCACUUUUGGCCUAACCAAAACCAGACCUGCCUUACCCUUGCCCUUAGUGUUCAGCCGGUUAGGUCAAGUAGAAUGCGUUGGGCUCCCUCAGUAUCAGAACUUGUGUGGGGAACUCUUCACUUUUGGCCUAACCAAAACCUGACCUACCUAGCCCUUAGAGUUCAGCCGGUUAGGUCAAGUAGAAUGCGUUGGGCUCCCUCAGUAUCAGAACUUGUGUGGGGAACUCUUCACUUUUGGCUUAACCAAAACCUGACCUGCCUUGCCCUUAGUGUUCAGCCGGUUAGGUCAAGUAGAAUGCGUUGGGCUCCCUCAGUAUCAGAGCUUGUGUGGGGAACUCUUCACUUUUGGCCUAACCAAAACCUGACCUACCUAGCUCUUAGAGUUCAACCAGUUAGGUCAAGUAAGAUGCGUUGGGCUCCCUCAGUAUCAGAACUUGUGUGGGGAACUCUUCACUUUUGGCCUAACCAAAACCAGACCUGCCUUGCCCCUAGAGUUGAGCCGGUUAGGUCAAGUAGAAUGUGUUGGGCUCCCUCAGUAUUAGAACUUGUGUGGGGAAUUCUCACUUUUGGCCUAACUAAAACUAGACCUGCUUUGCCCUUAGAGUUCAGCCGGUUAGGUCAAGUAGAAUGCAUUGGUUCCCUCAGUAUGAGAACUUGUGUGGGGAACUCUUCACUUAUGGCUUAACCAAAACCAGAUUUUCCUAGCCUUUAAAGUUUGGUUGGUUAGGUGAAGUAAAAUGCUUGCAAUUCUCGUGGAAUGUUCUUAAAAAAAAAAUUUAAGUUUGCUGAGUUUGAGAUUGGGUAUGGAAAUAACCGUCCUUUUUAACUUAAAAUUUUGAUGAAAUUGUAUUUUCUUUUAUUGGGUCAGAUUUUUCUUUCGAAAUUUGGAAAUUUUCUUAAUUCAUGUUUCUGUAAUGUAGAAUGGGUGUGAAACAAUGUUAGGGUCUGAAAUCUUGGAAGAAUGUUGGGAUGAGGAUUUAUAAAUUAAUUCCUCUUUCUUAGAAGGAUCUGAAUCUAUAUAAAGGUUUUUUUCUAUGUUUCCAUUCAUUUGUGGUAAUCUUGUAGGUUCUUUAAUUCUCGGUGAAAGUUCUAGGAUACUUUGAGGUGCUCUAUCUUGAAAUGCAAAGGACUCCACUUGAGUUACUCUUCACCUUAGAGUCAUGCAUAUCUCAAGUCUCUCAAAAGUUUUCCUCUUUCGUUUUAGUUGUACAUAAGAGAAGGGAUAGAGAUUUCUGAAGGUAGAACAAUCAAUAAGUAGAAGAAGAUGAAGAGAAAGGUUAGUGAAAGUAGAAAGAACAUAAAGGUUAACUAGUUUUGCUAGGUUUAUCUUCUUCACUGCUUUUCAAUCUGUGUGUGUGAAGAAUUUUAUAAAAUGAACUAUCUUUCAACUUCAUUUAUGACUUCUUUUGCAUGUAGAAAUUUAAAGGAUAUGCUUCAACAAUGAGCCUAACGGUUACAUCAGAAAAUAGGUAUUUUGUUUUGAUUUUUUUUUUCUAGCCAACUUGGUUAGCCUAUCGAAGCAUUGCUAGAGGUAUGAAUCUUGGCAACAUAGGUUUCUGUUUUCUCAAUUUCUUCUCUAACGAAGUUAUGCCUAAUAUCUAUUUGUUUUAUUAUGUUGUGAAAUUGGUAAUUCUUAGAUAUAUUUUGCUAUAGUUAUCACAAUAUAUUUUGAUUUUUGCUUCUUUGAUUUUGAAAAUAUUCAAUAACUCUUUUUCUCUCAAGGUUUGAAAUAUUCACAUCACAUUUGACUAAAGAGCCUACAUGAAUAUUGAUUGAAAUAUUAGGAAGCUUUUAUUUUUCUUUCGUGCUUCCAUUUUAGCAUUGAUUAACAAAUUUGCAUGGGAGGGUAUUGUGAGCUCUAUUUGAACAAAAAUGUGAUUGAUCACUUCUGCUUUGCUUGUUUUAUGAAGUUUUCUUUCUUAGCUUGAACGUUGUUUCAAAUUUUCAAGUUUUAAAACAUGAUAUAACAAAAGGAAACAUUAACAAGCAAGAAAAGCAGUACACACAUACAUAUAUAUGUGAAUAUGUGAGUCUCAAUUCAUGUAAUUUCGCUGUUAAAUUUUCAAGAAUGAGCUGACUCAAUUGAAUCCCAAUUUUGUUGGUUCCAAUUGCACGAUUGAGUUUGAUUUCUAAAAGAUGUAGGCUAAGAAAAGGAGGUGAGCUAAAAUGAAAUGGAAGAACAAUAACAAAGGGAGCAUUGGACUUGUUGAGAAAUGGGAGACCCCAUGGCUCCCAUUUGUGAAACUUUUGCAAUCGAUGUUAAUGUCGAUCUUGACAGGUAAUGUUAACUUGUUUAAGUUGAGAGGUUGGAAUACUUCAUACAAAUAAGUUUGAUAUAGUCCCUGAUUUAAUGUUGGUUCAGUAGAGAUAUAAAUAUAAGAUCUGAUCUUGGUUCUUUUUGCAUGCAAUUCUUUUGGAAUGUUUUGGAAAAGAAAUUUAAGUUUGUUGAAUUUGAGAUUGGGUGUGCAAAUAAUGUCUUUUUUACAUGAAAUUUUUGAUGAAAUGCAUUUCUCUUUUGUUUAAGUCAAAUUCUUUUUUUGAAUCUUGGAAAUUUUUUUGAUUCAUGUUUCUUUAAUGUUGAAUGGUUUGAAACAAAGUUGGAGGUUGAAAUCUUGGAGGAAUGUUGGGAUGAGGAUUUAGGAAUUAAUUCCUCUUUCUUAGAAGAAUCUGAAUCUAUACAAAGGUCUUCUUCUUAGUUUUCAAUCAUCUGAGGUAAUCUUGUAGGUUCUUUAAUUCUUGAUGGAAAUUCUAAGAUACUCUGAGGUAAUUCUUGCUUUCUUAAUAGGUUUUGUUGUUUGUUUUCAUGUCAUUGUUGAAAAUCUUGAGGUUGUUCUUGAUUGUUCCCAUGCUUGGUUUAUUGCAAGAACUUCUUGAUUGUUUCUUGGUUGAUUAUCCACCAUUCUUCUUAUUGGAUCUAAAACCCAAAUGUCCAUACACAAAGUAAAAUCUUC
This is an RNA transcript of Cucumis melo (muskmelon), 4063 nucleotides long. RefSeq lists it as uncharacterized. The record is from RefSeq and is a predicted model, not a curated record. Lineage: Eukaryota; Viridiplantae; Streptophyta; Magnoliopsida; Cucurbitales; Cucurbitaceae. The transcript has 5 exons.